Long non-coding RNA from Limulus polyphemus (Atlantic horseshoe crab), 293 nucleotides. RefSeq lists it as uncharacterized. NCBI's taxonomy places the organism in Eukaryota, Metazoa, Arthropoda, Merostomata, Xiphosura, Limulidae. The record is from RefSeq and is a predicted model, not a curated record. The transcript is spliced from 3 exons.
CAGAAACACUAAUGUUUAUUAUGUUGAUUUGGUAGUUCUUGUGUAGAACAUAGAUAUUUAGGUCUAAAAAGAUCAGGUGAGCACAAAAAUGAGUUGUGAAUAACCAUUUCUAGAAGCUACUAAAGAAAAGGCAAAAAGGCCAUAAAGAAUUUAAUCGUGCAAUAUUUUAAAGGUAUCUCGUUGUGGAUAGAAUUGAUGAAACACGUGAUGGCUAGUCCUUCUGGUUUGAUCUCUGGGAUUUUCUAUGAAAGUUAUCUGUAUGAUAAUUAUAUAUGGGCUCUCAGUUUAGCAGG